RNAcentral lists this RNase P RNA (374 nucleotides) under Gammaproteobacteria bacterium SG8_30. Its description in RNAcentral is "bacterial RNase P". It matches the Rfam family "Bacterial RNase P class A". From Rfam's summary of the family: Ribonuclease P (RNase P) is a ubiquitous endoribonuclease, found in archaea, bacteria and eukarya as well as chloroplasts and mitochondria. Its best characterised activity is the generation of mature 5'-ends of tRNAs by cleaving the 5'-leader elements of precursor-tRNAs. Cellular RNase Ps are ribonucleoproteins. Lineage: Bacteria; Pseudomonadati; Pseudomonadota; Gammaproteobacteria. The record is from RNAcentral.
GGAGUCGGCCAGGCAACCGCCGUUUUCUCACCGGAAGCGGAGGAAAGUCCGGGCUCCACAGGGCGAGGCGCCAGGUAACACCUGGGGGGCGUGAGCCCACGGAAAGUGCAACAGAAAGUAAACCGCCCAAGCGCGCGGACGACGCGCGCCGGCAAGGGUGAAAGGGUGCGGUAAGAGCGCACCGCGUCGGCGGCAACGUCGGCGGCACGGCAAACCCCGCCUGGAGCAAGGCCAAAUAGGGAAGCACGCAGCCUCCGGGCUGCAACGCGUGGCUCGCGCGGGCUUCCGGGUAGGCCGCUCGAGGUGCACGGCGACGUGCAUCCCAGAGGAAUGGUUGCCCACGACAGAACCCGGCUUAUCGGCCGGCUCCCACC